UGAGACCUACCUUUAGUUGACUCAGCUCCCAGUAAUUCUCUGUUAAAGUGAAAAAGCUCAUGUAAGAAAGAACCUCAUUGGACCAACUUAGGCUGGGGGUCUGAUAAUGCUGCAAACAGUGGUGAGGAGAGCAGGAUUGUAAAACACACACAUGGCUACUGAGGGACCUUCGUGGAGUAGGGAGAAGUGCAAAGGAAGAGAAAAGCCUGAGUUGGACAGACACCCCCCAAAUAUGUGAAUUACAAUGGUAAAAUAAGGAAGGUUCUUGUUUUCUACAGAUGCUGAUCCCAACUGAGAGAAACAAAUGCUAGUAGAGUGAAAGUUUCAGAAUGGUGUAGAAUUUACAUUUAUAGAACUAAAUGAUUUGGAACAAUAUGGCAGAGUUUGGACCAUGACUGCCCAGCUUCGUUUUCAUUACUGUUUUCUUUCUCAGGUUGUUGUUUCUCUCUUCCCUGGUCAGGCUACCAACGACUCCACAUGUGGCCAAAUGGAUCAGAAUUAUUUUCAUGACCAAGUGACACCAUGGGUUCAGAAGAGGAAGUGAUCUUGACUCUAGGAUGAACUCCAAACACCAUAGCAUGGUCCCUGAGCCUUUGAUAGUCUGACUUUCUUCCAGUUUUUCAGCCCCGUCUCAGGUCACACUAUUCCCUCGACAUGUAGGGUAGGCAAAUUCCCAGUCACACAUAGCACUUCUUGUAGUUCCUUGAACAUGUAGCAUGUUCUCUAUGCUGCUUCCCCUUUGCUUAUGUCAUUUUCCUUGACCUGGAAUGCAACACCUCCUCUCUAUCUGGAUACUGGCCCUUUAGAGUACUUAGCAGGCUUCAAAUAUCACCUCCUCUGGGAAGGCCUCUCUGUCCCAGCAUCAACCAAGUGCUUGGCUCAUAGUGGUCUCUCUCCAGUCCCUAGAACUUGUGCUUCCAAAGAUGAGGAAUAUAUAUUUUUUUCACUUUUGUCUUCUGCCGUAUCUAGAAAUGCCAUUUGAAAGAAUGAAGGCGGUAGAGUAAGUGGGAAUACAAACUUGAGGCCUCCAGCAUGCCUCUUCCUUUUCGCUGCUUCCCAGAGCAUUGUGGCUCUCACCCAGACCUUCCCCUUGCAGCCUAUAGGUGGCAAUGAGAGUUUUCUCUCUCAAGCUUUUCUUUUCUUCAGGUCUGAUGGUAAUGACAGAUCAUUCAGAAGCAUGCUGUGUUUGGAAUGAAACCAACACAGCAACAGUGUUAUAUACACUUCAGUCCCUAUCAAUCUUGACAGGAUUUUUAUAUGGGGAUUUUAUGACGAAAGGCUUCAUAUCCCAUCACACCUUCCGUGAGCCAUCCGCUCCCAGGGGAAUAUUUGUCUACAAUUGCAAAAAAAAAAAAGCCAAGAAAAUCUGCAAUAUAUCGCUGUUUCCCAAGUAAGAAAUAUACUUUCCCUCCGAGAAGUCCAUCAGUUAAUAUUAACAAGGAGAAAGAGAAAGAAUAACCUGGCAGGAAGCUCUGAAUUUCCCCCAGACUCGAGUCAAGAGAUCAUCAAGGAAGGAGUCUAGCUGUAAAGUACACCUCUCUUCCUCCGAUGGGAGUGACAACCAGGGUGACUGGAAUCAGAGGGCAGCCUGCUCUCCUUUGGCAAACAAACACCCACUCUGAUGGUCUCAUUGAUUGAUUGAUUGAUGCAUCCACUCCUUUAGCAAAGUCUACAGUUGCACACAAGCAAGAUCAUAGGAUCGGAAGUCAAAAGAUGCAUGUUGGGCCCAUCAAGACAUGAUUUUUUGAAGUCAAGUCAUCCUGGGAAAUCCUUUACAGUUUUCUUGGCUUUAGCUUUCGUAGCUUAUAUGGAAGAUAGUAAUAGUAAUUGUCGCAAAAAAUAUCAUUUGUAAAAGCAUUUUGUAUACCAGAAAACAUUAUGCAAAGACUUUUUGUUCUCAAAGGCUAGGACUAUGACUAGAAUAUUGUAUAAGUGAAUAAGCAUAUUUUAAGCAUCUAUCUAUGUCCAGAAAUUUGUGGGGAGUUUUGUAGAUAAAAAGACUAAUCUGACAGAGAUUCUGUACUCAAGAAGGUUAAAGCCUAUGAGAAGAAAAUAAUUCAGUCACAGAGAAGGCACAAAUUUAGUCUUAGAAUUUUCUUAAAAUUUUAUAUAAAGUAAUAUAUUUGCCAGACAAAGCCAUCAACAUUGUGAUUCUCUGUGAGCUUCAGCCUGACUUUGUGAUAACCCAUGUUUAAAGAUAAUAUUGGUUAUUUUAAGAUAUACUCCUAUAAACAUAAUAAAUUAUUCACUUUUAUUUAACAAGCAAUGUUCAGCUUGUUAAGUAAUUUCCUAAAUUCAUGGCAGUUUGGAAACUUAAUGAGGUACACUGACUCUAGGCUACUUUUCUCUGUAUUUUUAGAAACCAAAAGAACUUUCAAUAAUAAUUGGAAAUAUUCAUCUUUUCUUGUUAAGAACAAGUAUUUGGUUGUUCAAGCAAAAUUUUCAAAUGUAGGCUUGUCAAAAAAGGGUACUUAAACGUUGACUAUUCUAUUUCGGUUAUGUGAUUUAAGAAAGUAACCUUUUAAAGUUCAGUUUCCUCAUGUGUAAAAUGGGAUAACAAUUCCCCAUUUUGAAGGUGAAACAUAAAAAUAUGUGUGGAACACCUGUAUUAAUUAGAUGCGGGUUAGGUUUUGGUAAUAAAGACAC
This is a non-coding RNA of Equus caballus (horse), 2646 nucleotides long. Lineage: Eukaryota; Metazoa; Chordata; Mammalia; Perissodactyla; Equidae. The record is from RefSeq and is a predicted model, not a curated record.